GGAGUGAACGCUGGCGGCAGGCCUAACACAUGCAAGUCGAACGGCAGCACAGGGGAGCUUGCUCCCUGGGUGGUGAGUGGCGGACGGGUGAGGAAUACAUCGGAAUCUGCCCAAUCGUGGGGGAUAACGUAGGGAGACUUACGCUAAUACCGCAUACGACCUUCGGGUGAAAGCGUGGGACCGCAAGGCCGCGCGCGAUUGGAUGAGCCGAUGUCGGAUUAGCUUGUUGGCGGGUAAAAGCCCACCAAGGCGACGAUCCGUAGCUGGUCUGAGAGGAUGAUCAGCCACACUGGAACUGAGACACGGUCCAGACUCCUACGGGAGCAGCAGGUUGGGAAUAUUGGACGAAGUGGGCGCAAGCCUGAUCCAGCCAUCGCCGCGUGUGUGAAGAGGUCCGUUCGGUUAGAAGCUAUUUGUACCGAAAGAAAGCUACUCGGUUAAUAGUCGAAGACGUCCGUAGACGGUACCGGAAGAAGUAAGCGACCGGCUAACGUCAGCC
This 499-nucleotide ribosomal RNA is filed under the name uncultured soil bacterium. RNAcentral's name for it is "bacterial SSU rRNA". It matches the Rfam family "Bacterial small subunit ribosomal RNA", at positions 27 to 509 of the family's 1533-position model. The record is from RNAcentral.